RNAcentral lists this ribosomal RNA (1530 nucleotides) under Escherichia coli. Its description in RNAcentral is "bacterial SSU rRNA". It matches the Rfam family "Bacterial small subunit ribosomal RNA". Lineage: Bacteria; Pseudomonadati; Pseudomonadota; Gammaproteobacteria; Enterobacterales; Enterobacteriaceae. The record is from RNAcentral.
AGAGUUUGAUCAUGGCUCAGAUUGAACGCUGGCGGCAGGCCUAACACAUGCAAGUCGAACGGUAACAGAAAGCAGCUUGCUGCUUUGCUGACGAGUGGCGGACGGGUGAGUAAUGUCUGGGAAACUGCCUGAUGGAGGGGGAUAACUACUGGAAACGGUAGCUAAUACCGCAUAACGUCGCAAGACCAAAGAGGGGGACCUUAGGGCCUCUUGCCAUCGGAUGUGCCCAGAUGGGAUUAGCUAGUAGGUGGGGUAACGGCUCACCUAGGCGACGAUCCCUAGCUGGUCUGAGAGGAUGACCAGCCACACUGGAACUGAGACACGGUCCAGACUCCUACGGGAGGCAGCAGUGGGGAAUAUUGCACAAUGGGCGCAAGCCUGAUGCAGCCAUGCCGCGUGUAUGAAGAAGGCCUUCGGGUUGUAAAGUACUUUCAGCGGGGAGGAAGGGAGUAAAGUUAAUACCUUUGCUCAUUGACGUUACCCGCAGAAGAAGCACCGGCUAACUCCGUGCCAGCAGCCGCGGUAAUACGGAGGGUGCAAGCGUUAAUCGGAAUUACUGGGCGUAAAGCGCACGCAGGCGGUUUGUUAAGUCAGAUGUGAAAUCCCCGGGCUCAACCUGGGAACUGCAUCUGAUACUGGCAGGCUUGAGUCUCGUAGAGGGGGGUAGAAUUCCAGGCGUAGCGGUGAAAUGCGUAGAGAUCUGGAGGAAUACCGGUGGCGAAGGCGGCCCCCUGGACGAAGACUGACGCUCAGGUGCGAAAGCGUGGGGAGCAAACAGGAUUAGAUACCCUGGUAGUCCACGCCGUAAACGAUGUCGACUUGGAGGUUGUGCCCUUGAGGCGUGGCUUCCGGAGCUAACGCGUUAAGUCGACCGCCUGGGGAGUACGGCCGCAAGGUUAAAACUCAAAUGAAUUGACGGGGGCCCGCACAAGCGGUGGAGCAUGUGGUUUAAUUCGAUGCAACGCGAAGAACCUUACCUGGUCUUGACAUCCACGGAAGUUUUCAGAGAUGAGAAUGUGCCUUCGGGAACCGUGAGACAGGUGCUGCAUGGCUGUCGUCAGCUCGUGUUGUGAAAUGUUGGGUUAAGUCCCGCAACGAGCGCAACCCUUAUCCUUUGUUGCCAGCGGUCCGGCCGGGAACUCAAAGGAGACUGCCAGUGAUAAACUGGAGGAAGGUGGGGAUGACGUCAAGUCAUCAUGGCCCUUACGACCAGGGCUACACACGUGCUACAAUGGCGCAUACAAAGAGAAGCGACCUCGCGAGAGCAAGCGGACCUCAUAAAGUGCGUCGUAGUCCGGAUUGGAGUCUGCAACUCGACUCCAUGAAGUCGGAAUCGCUAGUAAUCGUGGAUCAGAAUGCCACGGUGAAUACGUUCCCGGGCCUUGUACACACCGCCCGUCACACCAUGGGAGUGGGUUGCAAAAGAAGUAGGUAGCUUAACCUUCGGGAGGGCGCUUACCACUUUGUGAUUCAUGACUGGGGUGAAGUCGUAACAAGGUAACCGUAGGGGAACCUGCGGUUGGAUCACCU